RNAcentral lists this ribosomal RNA (253 nucleotides) under uncultured bacterium. RNAcentral describes it as "partial 16S ribosomal RNA". It matches the Rfam family "Bacterial small subunit ribosomal RNA", at positions 524 to 776 of the family's 1533-position model. The record is from RNAcentral.
UACGUAGGGCGCAAGCGUUGUCCGGAAUUAUUGGGCGUAAAGAGCUCGUAGGCGGCCUGUUGCGUCCGCUGUGAAAACCCGGGGCUUAACCCCGGGCUUGCAGUGGAUACGGGCAGGCUGGAGGCAGGCAGGGGAGAACGGAAUUCCCGGUGUAGCGGUGAAAUGCGCAGAUAUCGGGAGGAACACCGGUGGCGAAGGCGGCUCUCUGGGACGGUACUGACGCUGAGACGCGAAAGCUGGGGGAGCGAACGGG